RNAcentral lists this ribosomal RNA (460 nucleotides) under uncultured bacterium. Its description in RNAcentral is "partial 16S ribosomal RNA". It matches the Rfam family "Bacterial small subunit ribosomal RNA", at positions 338 to 795 of the family's 1533-position model. The record is from RNAcentral.
CCUACGGGAGGCAGCAGUGAGGAAUAUUGGUCAAUGGGAGGAAUCCUGAACCAGCCAUGCCGCGUGCAGGACGACGGCUCUACGAGUUGUAAACUGCUUUUGUACCGGGGUAAAAUGCUCUACGAGUAGGGUUUUGUAUGUACGGUACGAAUAAGGAUCGGCUAACUCCGUGCCAGCAGCCGCGGUAAUACGGAGGAUCCGAGCGUUAUCCGGAUUUAUUGGGUUUAAGGGGUGCGUAGGUUGUUUUUUAAGUUAGUGGUGAAAUAUUGAUGCUCAACAGCGAAACUGCAGUUGAAACUGGAAGACUUGAGAACAGUAGAGGCAGGCGGAAUGUGUGGUGUAGCGGUGAAAUGCAUAGAUAUCACGAAGAACACCGAUUGCGAAGGCAGCUUACUAGGCCGGAACUGACACUGAGGCACGAAAGCGUGGGGAUCGAACAGGAUUAGAUACCCUGGUAGUC